CCUAUGGUCGCUGGCAACAGUGGGAUGUAACCUUGUGCUGGUGGCUGCAUUUGGGGGAGGGAUUGGGCUUCCCUGGUGGUUCGGUGGUAAAGAAUCCACCUGCCAAUGCAGAAGACACUGGCUCCAUUCCUAGGUCCAAGACGAUCCCCUCGAGGAGGAAAUGGCAACCCACUUUCUAUUCUUGCCUGGGAAAUCCCAUGGAGAGAGGAGCCUGGCGGGCUACAGUCCAUGGAGUCACAAGGAGUUGGACAAGGCUGUGCAACUGAACGGGAUCUUAGAGGGAACAAUGGUGCAAACAACACAAGUAGAGCCCCUCACGUGCACAUCCGGAAAUGUUUCAGCAAACAUACAAAACUCCUCCUCCGUCCUGUCAUGUAAGUGGCCCCAAGGUGCAUCACAGAACCGCCGCUCCCCAUUUCUCCUCAAGGUGCGUCCGCCCACUCCACCCGCCCCGGCUCCGCGGAGAUGCAGGAAGGGGACAGUGGCCGCCAUGCGGUGGCCGGGGGCCCAGGCCAGGGCAGGCCGGUUCCAGCUCUCGGAGGCUCCUCCUUGGCACAGCCUGGAAGAGAGACAUGAUGGAUGCUUCGACUGCUGCCUCCCCGUGAGGACACGUUGCUGACUCCGCUGCUUAUUAACUCUGGCCCGGCUGCAAUCUGGUGCAAAGGACACGGGGACUUGCUGACCCCUCCAAGGUGACCACGAUGGUCUUGGAACGGGUGCGAUGCUCUCAGCUAACUUGCCAGCUGCUCCCAAGUUUCUGCUCCUCCUCUACCUUUCAGGCCGAGUUAGACUCUGGGAAGUUGUGGUUUUGCAAACCCGGAGUUCUUCAGGCCAGGAGCACACAGGACUGGGCAACAUGGCUGCCCCAGUGAGACGGCUGACUCCGUAAGGACCGCAUUAAGGAAGGAGGGGACAGGGCGGAGACCAGGCUUUCUCACUCUGCAGCCACAGCUGCCGUCGUUUUUCAAAAUUCCUUCUGCUAUUUUUUCCCCCAAAUCUACAGCACAGACGUGGUGCCUCCUGAGCACCUCCAACACAGGUUGGAGCCCCGCCAGUGACCCACUGAGUGACCAGCUGAGUGAGUGCAGCGUUUGCACAGGGCUUGCUCUGGGUUGCUGGGAGACAGGCAGCCUGUCCUUCCCCUUCCCCAGUCCUGCGGAGGAGUGGAGACCCUGCCUCUCUCGGUAGCAGCCCGGGCUGGAGGCUGCCUGCUUGUGGAGUGGACAGGACUGGAGACUCCCAGACUUGUCAAGGAUGGCCCCUUUGAUGAAUUACAAGUCAAGGAUAAUAAGUCCGCUGUAACUUUGACUUUGUCUAUGUAAGAUAUAUUCAAUCAGCCAUUUGGUACACUUUCUGUUAUAUGUUGGUUUCUUGGUUUUUUU
Molecule: long non-coding RNA, 1382 nt
Filed under: Capra hircus (goat)
Lineage: Eukaryota; Metazoa; Chordata; Mammalia; Artiodactyla; Bovidae
Description: lncRNA (ENSCHIG00000002510.1)
Source: RNAcentral